AUCCUGGCUCAGGACGAACGCUGGCUGCGUGCUUAACACAUGCAAGUCGAACGCUGAAGCCCUGGUGCUUGCACCGGGGUGGAUGAGUGGCGAACGGGUGAGUAACACGUGAGUAACCUGCCCCCGACUUCGGGAUAAGCCCGGGAAACUGGGUCUAAUACCGGAUAUGACGACCGAAGGCAUCUUUGGUUGUGGAAAGUUUUUUCGGUUGGGGAUGGGCUCGCGGCCUAUCAGUUUGUUGGUGAGGUAAUGGCUCACCAAGACGACGACGGGUAGCCGGCCUGAGAGGGCGACCGGCCACACUGGGACUGAGACACGGCCCAGACUCCUACGGGAGGCAGCAGUGGGGAAUAUUGCACAAUGGGGGAAACCCUGAUGCAGCGACGCAGCGUGCGGGAUGACGGCCUUCGGGUUGUAAACCGCUUUCAGCAGGGAAGAAGCCUUUCGGGGUGACGGUACCUGCAGAAGAAGUACCGGCUAACUACGUGCCA
RNAcentral lists this ribosomal RNA (491 nucleotides) under Brevibacterium sp. TSA8B. RNAcentral describes it as "bacterial SSU rRNA". It matches the Rfam family "Bacterial small subunit ribosomal RNA", at positions 16 to 510 of the family's 1533-position model. Lineage: Bacteria; Bacillati; Actinomycetota; Actinomycetes; Micrococcales; Brevibacteriaceae. The record is from RNAcentral.